Molecule: non-coding RNA, 54 nt
Filed under: human gut metagenome
Description: GP20-b RNA
Rfam family: GP20-b RNA
Source: RNAcentral
CCGCAAUCCUAAAAACGCGGGGCGACCGGUGACGGCGACCACCUAAAAAGCCUA